UACGGAGGGGGCUAGCGUUGUUCGGAAUUACUGGGCGUAAAGCGCGCGUAGGCGGAUCUGCAAGUCGGGGGUGAAAUCCCGAGGCUCAACCUCGGAACUGCCUUCGAUACUGCGGGUCUCGAGUCCGGGAGAGGUGAGUGGAAUUCCUAGUGUAGAGGUGAAAUUCGUAGAUAUUAGGAAGAACACCAGUGGCGAAGGCGACUCACUGGCCCGGUACUGACGCUGAGGCGCGAAAGCGUGGGGAGCAAACAGG
RNAcentral lists this ribosomal RNA (253 nucleotides) under uncultured bacterium. RNAcentral describes it as "partial 16S ribosomal RNA". It matches the Rfam family "Bacterial small subunit ribosomal RNA", at positions 524 to 776 of the family's 1533-position model. The record is from RNAcentral.